RNAcentral lists this ribosomal RNA (578 nucleotides) under uncultured Gammaproteobacteria bacterium. RNAcentral's name for it is "bacterial SSU rRNA". It matches the Rfam family "Bacterial small subunit ribosomal RNA", at positions 346 to 916 of the family's 1533-position model. The record is from RNAcentral. Lineage: Bacteria; Pseudomonadati; Pseudomonadota; Gammaproteobacteria.
AGGCAGCAGUGGGGAAUAUUGGACAAUGGGGGAAACCCUGAUCCAGCCAUGCCGCGUGUGUGAAGAAGGCCUUUUGGUUGUAAAGCACUUUAAGCAGUGAAGAAGACUCCGUGGUUAAUACCCACGGACGAUGACAUUAGCUGCAGAAUAAGCACCGGCUAACUCUGUGCCAGCAGCCGCGGUAAUACAGAGGGUGCAAGCGUUAAUCGGAAUUACUGGGCGUAAAGCGAGCGUAGGUGGCUUGAUAAGUCAGAUGUGAAAUCCCCGGGCUUAACCUGGGAACUGCAUCUGAAACUGUUAGGCUAGAGUAGGUGAGAGGGAAGUAGAAUUUCAGGUGUAGCGGUGAAAUGCGUAGAGAUCUGAAGGAAUACCGAUGGCGAAGGCAGCUUCCUGGCAUCAUACUGACACUGAGGCUCGAAAGCGUGGGUAGCAAACAGGAUUAGAUACCCUGGUAGUCCACGCCGUAAACGAUGUCUACUAGUCGUUGGGUCCCUUGAGGACUUAGUGACGCAGCUAACGCAAUAAGUAGACCGCCUGGGGAGUACGGCCGCAAGGUUAAAACUCAAAUGAAUUGACGG